GACGAACGCUGGCGGCGCGCUUAACACAUGCAAGUCGAGCGAGAACCUGGGCUUCGGCCCUGGGGACAGCGGCGAACGGGUGAGUAACACGUGGGUAAUCUGCCCUUGACAUCGGGAUAG
Molecule: ribosomal RNA, 120 nt
Filed under: uncultured bacterium
Lineage: Bacteria
Description: partial 16S ribosomal RNA
Rfam family: Bacterial small subunit ribosomal RNA
Source: RNAcentral